AUUGAACGCUGGCGGCAGGCCUAACACAUGCAAGUCGAACGGUAGCACAGAGAGCUUGCUCUUGGGUGACGAGUGGCGGACGGGCGAGUAAUGUCUGGGAAACUGCCCGAUGGAGGGGGAUAACUACUGGAAACGGUAGCUAAUACCGCAUAACGUCUUCGGACCAAAGUGGGGGACCUUCGGGCCUCACACCAUCGGAUGUGCCCAGAUGGGAUUAGCUAGUAGGUGGGGUAAAGGCUUACCUAGGCGACGAUCCCUAGCUGGUCUGAGAGGAUGACCAGCCACACUGGAACUGAGACACGGUCCAGACUCCUACGGGAGGCAGCAGUGGGGAAUAUUGCACAAUGGGCGCAAGCCUGAUGCAGCCAUGCCGCGUGUAUGAAGAAGGCCUUCGGGUUGUAAAGUACUUUCAGCGGGGAGGAAGGCGUUAAGGUUAAUAACCUUGGCGAUUGACGUUACCCGCAGAAGAAGCACCGGCUAACUCCGUGCCAGCAGCCGCCGUAA
RNAcentral lists this ribosomal RNA (504 nucleotides) under uncultured bacterium. RNAcentral describes it as "partial 16S ribosomal RNA". It matches the Rfam family "Bacterial small subunit ribosomal RNA", at positions 30 to 523 of the family's 1533-position model. The record is from RNAcentral.